CUACGUGCCAGCAGCCGCGGUAAUACGGAAGGUCCGGGCGUUAUCCGGAUUUAUUGGGUUUAAAGGGAGCGUAGGCUGGAGAUUAAGUGUGUUGUGAAAUGUAGACGCUCAACGUCUGACUUGCAGCGCAUACUGGUUUCCUUGAGUACGCACAACGUUGGCGGAAUUCGUCGUGUAGCGGUGAAAUGCUUAGAUAUGACGAAGAACUCCGAUUGCGAAGGCAGCUGACGGGAGCACAACUGACGCUGAAGCUCGAAGGUGCGGGUAUCAAACAGGAUUAGAUACCCUGGUAGUCCGCACAGUAAACGAUGGAUGCCCGUUGUUAGUUCACCUAAGAAUUAGCGACCAAGCGAAAGCAUUAAGCAUCCCACCUGGGGAGUACGCCGGCAACGGUGAAACUCAAAGGAAUUGACGGGGGCCCGCACAAGCGGAGGAACAUGUGGUUUAAUUCGAUGAUACGCGAGGAACCUUACCCGGGCU
RNAcentral lists this ribosomal RNA (480 nucleotides) under uncultured bacterium. RNAcentral describes it as "bacterial SSU rRNA". It matches the Rfam family "Bacterial small subunit ribosomal RNA", at positions 501 to 981 of the family's 1533-position model. The record is from RNAcentral.